GAGUUUGAUCCUGGCUCAGAUUGAACGCUGGCGGCAUGCCUUACACAUGCAAGUCGAACGGCAGCACGGGAGCUUGCUCCUGGUGGCGAGUGGCGAACGGGUGAGUAAUGCAUCGGAACGUAUCCUGGAGUGGGGGAUAACGUAGCGAAAGUUACGCUAAUACCGCAUAUUCUGUGAGCAGGAAAGCGGGGGACCUUCGGGCCUCGCGCUCUUGGAGCGGCCGAUGUCGGAUUAGCUAGUUGGUGAGGUAAAGGCUCACCAAGGCGACGAUCCGUAGCAGGUCUGAGAGGAUGAUCUGCCACACUGGAACUGAGACACGGUCCAGACUCCUACGGGAGGCAGCAGUGGGAUUUUGGACAAUGGGGGCAACCCUGAUCCAGCCAUGCCGCGUGAGUGAAGAAGGCCUCGG
Molecule: ribosomal RNA, 409 nt
Filed under: bacterium enrichment culture clone ALO1_GLFRUDD03GYOMS
Lineage: Bacteria
Description: bacterial SSU rRNA
Rfam family: Bacterial small subunit ribosomal RNA
Source: RNAcentral